Scylla paramamosain (green mud crab) is the source of this 890-nucleotide long non-coding RNA. RefSeq lists it as uncharacterized. The record is from RefSeq and is a predicted model, not a curated record. Lineage: Eukaryota; Metazoa; Arthropoda; Malacostraca; Decapoda; Portunidae. The transcript is spliced from 3 exons.
GUUUCAUAAAACAACCCUCAGUAAUGUGUGUGAUGGGCGUUUUGAAAAGAUGUCAUGAUACUGGGAAAUAGAAACAAAAUACUAUUAGUCGACGCAUCACAAGCUUGGAGGAGCAGGGCGCAUUCUAGAAGCGUCACGUAUCAGUGACAGUGACCAACCAUCAUUCAUGCGGUGCGGGUGUUACCCGUGAAGUUUUCUUAACCUAGUGACGCGGGACAGCCUCGUGAGUGGACAUUGUUUUGUAUAAGUGUUGUGUGCCUGCGGGACGCGAAGGCCAGGCAGGAGCAGUCUGCUGCAGGCUGAAUGAGACCUGGCGGAGAGCGGGCGUGGCAGGUGCGUGGCCUGAAUUACGAGUAAUGCUGCAUGAUCAUCUCACGGGAAAAGAUUGCUCUCAUGUGACUCCAGGCAGCGAUAUCGCCACAGCAACCACCACCACCAUCACAAUCACCACUGCCUCGUCAUCAUCAUCGUCAUCAUUAUCUGGACUCGUUUCUACAUCUCAUAAAAGGUAUAAGAAUCUCUCUCUCUCUCUCUCUCUCUCUCUCUCUCUCUCUCUCUCUCUCUCUCUCUCUCUCUCUCUCUCUCUCUCUCAGGAACAAUAGCAACAUCAAUUAGCCUCCUACCCCUCCUCCCCAUUCCCCUUGUCUCUCUUGCCCCUCUUUCCCCCAUCCCCCCCUUUGAAUUUUUCGACACUGUCCUUCCCCACUACACGGCAUCUUAAUACCUUUCUUCCCUGUGCACCUAUCCCCUUUAAGCCCUUCUUACCCUCCUGGCCUUCGCCCCUCUGCACGCCAAACACCUAACGAACGAACGCCUUGCCUCCACGCUUUAUAACUUGACAAUCUCUCUCUCUCUCUCCCUCUCUCUCUCUCUCUCUCUCUCUCUCUCUC